GAUGAACGCUAGCUACAGGCUUAACACAUGCAAGUCGAGGGGCAGCAUGGUCUUAGCUUGCUAAGGCCGAUGGCGACCGGCGCACGGGUGAGUAACACGUAUCCAACCUGCCGUCUACUCUUGGACAGCCUUCUGAAAGGAAGAUUAAUACAAGAUGGCAUCAUGAGUCCACAUGUUCACAUGAUUAAAGGUAUUCCGGUAGACGAUGGGGAUGCGUUCCAUUAGAUAGUAGGCGGGGUAACGGCCCACCUAGUCUUCGAUGGAUAGGGGUUCUGAGAGGAAGGUCCCCCACAUUGGAACUGAGACACGGUCCAAACUCCUACGGGAGGCAGCAGUGAGGAAUAUUGGUCAAUGGGCGAGAGCCUGAACCAGCCAAGUAGCGUGAAGGAUGACUGCCCUAUGGGUUGUAAACUUCUUUUAUAAAGGAAUAAAGUCGGGUAUGCAUACCCGUUUGCAUGUACUUUAUGAAUAAGGAUCGGCUAACUCCGUGCCAGCAGCCGCGGUAAUACGGAGGAUCCGAGCGUUAUCCGGAUUUAUUGGGUUUAAAGGGAGCGUAGAUGGAUGUUUAAGUCAGUUGUGAAAGUUUGCGGCUCAACCGUAAAAUUGCAGUUGAUACUGGAUAUCUUGAGUGCAGUUGAGGCAGGCGGAAUUCGUGGUGUAGCGGUGAAAUGCUUAGAUAUCACGAAGAACUCCGAUUGCGAAGGCAGCCUGCUAAGCUGCAACUGACAUUGAGGCUCGAAAGUGUGGGUAUCAAACAGGAUUAGAUACCCUGGUAGUCCACACGGUAAACGAUGAAUACUCGCUGUUUGCGAUAUACAGCAAGCGGCCAAGCGAAAGCGUUAAGUAUUCCACCUGGGGAGUACGCCGGCAACGGUGAAACUCAAAGGAAUUGACGGGGGCCCGCACAAGCGGAGGAACAUGUGGUUUAAUUCGAUGAUACGCGAGGAACCUUACCCGGGCUUAAAUUGCAGAUGAAUUACGGUGAAAGCCGUAAGCCGCAAGGCAUCUGUGAAGGUGCUGCAUGGUUGUCGUCAGCUCGUGCCGUGAGGUGUCGGCUUAAGUGCCAUAACGAGCGCAACCCUUGUUGUCAGUUACUAACAGGUCAUGCUGAGGACUCUGACAAGACUGCCAUCGUAAGAUGUGAGGAAGGUGGGGAUGACGUCAAAUCAGCACGGCCCUUACGUCCGGGGCUACACACGUGUUACAAUGGGGGGUACAGAGGGCCGCUACCACGCGAGUGGAUGCCAAUCCCAAAAACCUCUCUCAGUUCGGACUGGAGUCUGCAACCCGACUCCACGAAGCUGGAUUCGCUAGUAAUCGCGCAUCAGCCACGGCGCGGUGAAUACGUUCCCGGGCCUUGUACACACCGCCCGUCAAGCCAUGGGAGCCGGGGGUACCUGAAGUGCGUAACCGCGAGGAGCGCCCUAGGGUAAAACUGGUGACUGGGGC
RNAcentral lists this ribosomal RNA (1449 nucleotides) under uncultured organism. RNAcentral's name for it is "16S ribosomal RNA". It matches the Rfam family "Bacterial small subunit ribosomal RNA". The record is from RNAcentral.